UACAGAGACUGCAAGCGUUAUUCGGAUUCACUGGGCGUAAAGGGUGCGCAGGCGGUCGUGUGUGUCAGGUGUGAAAUCUCGGAGCUCAACUCCGAAACUGCGCCUGAAACUACAUGACUAGAGCAUUGGAGAGGGUAGCGGAAUUCACGGUGUAGCAGUGAAAUGCGUAGAUAUCGUGAGGAACACCAGAGGCGAAGGCGGCUACCUGGACAAUUGCUGACGCUCAGGCACGAAAGCGUGGGGAGCAAAAGGG
RNAcentral lists this ribosomal RNA (253 nucleotides) under uncultured prokaryote. RNAcentral describes it as "partial 16S ribosomal RNA". It matches the Rfam family "Bacterial small subunit ribosomal RNA", at positions 524 to 776 of the family's 1533-position model. The record is from RNAcentral.